Molecule: long non-coding RNA, 227 nt
Filed under: Selaginella moellendorffii
Lineage: Eukaryota; Viridiplantae; Streptophyta; Lycopodiopsida; Selaginellales; Selaginellaceae
Description: long non-coding RNA (SMOE_LNC000948)
Source: RNAcentral
UUUUUUUUUCACAAAGCCAAAAGUACUUCUUUAUUUUUUCUAAGUCAAGGGUUAGGUUAUAAUCUUUCUCACUUGGAUUUUUCUAUUGUCGAUGGCUCUCGCGCUCACGCCGCCCCAAUGCUUGCCCGCCGAGCUCAAGCGCCCCAGCAUGGCGGCCAUCACCGAGCUUCACACCCACGAGCUCCAGCUCUAGCUCCAGCACAUCCAGCACACCACCAUGGACACCA